Molecule: ribosomal RNA, 471 nt
Filed under: Triticum aestivum (bread wheat)
Lineage: Eukaryota; Viridiplantae; Streptophyta; Magnoliopsida; Poales; Poaceae
Description: partial small subunit ribosomal RNA
Source: RNAcentral
AUGGAGAAGCUCGGCCUCCAAGAGGAUGAUCUGGAUGACGUAGUUUUUGAGGAUCAAGAAGCACCCUCACCAGAGGCGAUCAGGUGGAUGGCGCUGGCUCGGGUUCAUACGGAGAAAGCCUACAGUCAGUACUGGUUCUUUAGGACGAUGAGAGCGGCAUGGGAUCUGGCCCAAGAGGUAAAGAUUAGACCGCUCGAAGACAAUCUAUACACCCUGCAAUUCUCGUGUUUGGGCGAUUGGGAGAGAGUCAUGCAAGAAGGACUGUGGAAUUUCAAGGGUUUUGCGGUGAUUAUUUCACCUUACGACGGAUUCACAAAACCGUCUCAAAUCAAGCUUGAUACUCUCGAGAUCUGGGCUCAAAUUCAUGAUCUUCCUGAUGGUUUCUGCCCCAUGCUGAAGGCUUUGGUGGGGAGGAUUGGUGAACUGGCGUUUGUGGAACCUAAGUCCCACGAUUUUGAAGGAAACUUCUAG